Molecule: long non-coding RNA, 968 nt
Organism: Lolium rigidum
Lineage: Eukaryota; Viridiplantae; Streptophyta; Magnoliopsida; Poales; Poaceae
Exons: 4
Source: RefSeq, a predicted model, not a curated record
CUCCUGCUCGCCGCCGCCGCAUCCUCUUGCCAGCCGCCCCAUCAUCCCUCCACCGUCCCUCCUUCCCGCCGCCGCCGCAUCACCCCUCCUCCGUAUCCCCCUCCCGCUGCCUCACUCCUGUGAUCCACCCGCCGUAGCCAGGUGGUACGACGCCCUCUCCUCAUCACGCCGGAUCCUGGCCGCCGCCGCUCUCUUCACCGGCGGGAUCGGAGCCGCCAGCCACAACAGCAGUAUCGUAGUCGGCCCUCGUCGCCUGCGGGAUCGGAGUCCACUGCAUCAAUUGGGAGGACAACAAGCUGCGAGAGCAAACUCUACGACAGGUGCAUUUGAAUACAUGUGAUGGAAAAACUGAUCGGAAAAGAGCAAAGGAGAAAACUUGUCUAGCAGAAUAUCCUCAAGUUGUGGAAAAGGCAGCAAACUUUGUAAAUAAUAAACUCUAAAGGUUACAUCAUAGUUAUCGGAAUGACCAGCGUUUUUUAGAUGAUUAGGCCUUUUUCCAUAAUUACAAACACUCCCAGGAUGAAUUGCUGUUGAACAAAGAAGGAGGGACCUAUUUCAAUACUCCCGGAGAAGACCCUUCUGUCCUUUUGCGUGUUAAAGAAGACUAUGAUGAUGUUAAAGAAGACUAUGAUGGUGCAGAACCCUCUGGAAACUCGAUGGCAGUGAUUAACAUGAUCAGAUUUCCCAGUAUAUUUGAUGCCGCAAAAUCUGAAGGCUACAAACUAGAUAGAAAUGGUGCUGGUGGGGGACAAAAGGAUCUCUGCAGAAUUUCGAAACAUGAUUGCAGCUGCUUUCUCAUCAUAUGAUCAAAGAGAACAAUCCAGUUGAUGCAGAUAGACCCCAGGAACAUGUCAUUCUGGGAGAGAAACAAUGCAAACAUCGCGUAGAUGGCACGGGGCAGCCCAGCGUAGAAGCCAGCGGUGGCGCAUGUGUGUCAAGAGUUCAAGUGCAGCCCUCCCGUGACUUCU